This 253-nucleotide ribosomal RNA is filed under the name uncultured bacterium. RNAcentral's name for it is "partial 16S ribosomal RNA". It matches the Rfam family "Bacterial small subunit ribosomal RNA", at positions 524 to 776 of the family's 1533-position model. The record is from RNAcentral.
UACGGAGGGUGCGAGCGUUGUCCGGAUUUAUUGGGUUUAAAGGGUGCGCAGGUGGGUAUUUAAGUCUGGUUUGAAAGCAGGUGGCUCAACCAUCUGAUGUGGCUGGAAACUGGAUAUCUUGAAUGGGUUGGCGGUAGCCGGAAUGGGUCAUGUAGCGGUGAAAUGCAUAGAUAUGACCCGGAACACCGAUUGCGAAGGCAGGCUACUACGACUUGAUUGACACUGAGGCACGAGAGCAUGGGUAGCGAACAGG